UGUAUUUUGAGAGCGGAUUAAAGUCUGUUGGAACACAGCGCCUUAGAGGGUGACAGCCCCGUAAAAUCUAUUCUCAUUGUAAGAUACUUUCGAAGAGUCGAGUUGUUUGGGAAUGCAGCUCUAAGUGGGAGGUAAAUUCCUUCUAAAGCUAAAUAUUGACGAGAGACCGAUAGCGAACAAGUACUGUGAAGGAAAGAUGAAAAGCACUUUGAAAAGAGAGUGAAAAAGUACGUGAAAUUGUUAAAAGGGAAGGGUAUUGAACCAGACUUGGUGCUGUUGUUCAACUGUGUUUUGGCAUAGUGUACUCAGCAGUACUAGGCCAAGGUGGGGUGUUUGGGAGUGAAAAAGAAGUAGGAAGGUAGCUCUUCGGAGUGUUAUAGACUACUUUCAUAGCUCCUUGGGCGCCUCAGGACUGCGCUUCGGCAAGGACCUUGGCAUAAUGAUUCUAUAC
This 451-nucleotide ribosomal RNA is filed under the name uncultured Galactomyces. Its description in RNAcentral is "partial large subunit ribosomal RNA". It matches the Rfam family "Eukaryotic large subunit ribosomal RNA", at positions 157 to 645 of the family's 3401-position model. The record is from RNAcentral. Lineage: Eukaryota; Fungi; Ascomycota; Dipodascomycetes; Dipodascales; Dipodascaceae.